This 81-nucleotide transfer RNA is filed under the name Archaeoglobus sp. RNAcentral describes it as "tRNA-Ser". It matches the Rfam family "tRNA". Rfam says of the family: Transfer RNA (tRNA) molecules are approximately 80 nucleotides in length. Their secondary structure includes four short double-helical elements and three loops (D, anti-codon, and T loops). Lineage: Archaea; Methanobacteriati; Methanobacteriota; Archaeoglobi; Archaeoglobales; Archaeoglobaceae. The record is from RNAcentral.
GCCGGGGUUGCCGAGUGGUAAGGCGCACGCCUGGAGAGCGUGUGGGCUUCGCCCGCGUGGGUUCGAAUCCCACCCCCGGCG